RNAcentral lists this ribosomal RNA (486 nucleotides) under uncultured bacterium. RNAcentral describes it as "partial 16S ribosomal RNA". It matches the Rfam family "Bacterial small subunit ribosomal RNA", at positions 30 to 507 of the family's 1533-position model. The record is from RNAcentral.
AUUGAACGCUGGCGGCAUGCCUUACACAUGCAAGUCGAACGGCAGCACGGGUGCUUGCACCUGGUGGCGAGUGGCGAACGGGUGAGUAAUACAUCGGAACAUGUCCUGUAGUGGGGGAUAGCCCGGCGAAAGCCGGAUUAAUACCGCAUACGAUCUACGGAUGAAAGCGGGGGACCUUCGGGCCUCGCGCUAUAGGGUUGGCCGAUGGCUGAUUAGCUAGUUGGUGGGGUAAAGGCCUACCAAGGCGACGAUCAGUAGCUGGUCUGAGAGGACGACCAGCCACACUGGGACUGAGACACGGCCCAGACUCCUACGGGAGGCAGCAGUGGGAAAUUUUGGACAAUGGGCGAAAGCCUGAUCCAGCAAUGCCGCGUGUGUGAAGAAGGCCUUCGGGUUGUAAAGCACUUUUGUCCGGAAAGAAAUCCUUGGCCCUAAUACGGUCGGGGGAUGACGGUACCGGAAGAAUAAGCACCGGCUAACUACGUG